RNAcentral lists this microRNA precursor (78 nucleotides) under Schistosoma margrebowiei. Its description in RNAcentral is "mir-3492 microRNA precursor family". It matches the Rfam family "mir-3492 microRNA precursor family". The record is from Rfam by way of RNAcentral. Lineage: Eukaryota; Metazoa; Platyhelminthes; Trematoda; Strigeidida; Schistosomatidae.
AGCUUUCUGAAUCCGUAUCGAGAUUUCGUCAGACAUCAACCCACCAGGGAUGAUGUGACUUUCAAGAUAAGUGAAGUG